CGGACGGGUGAGUAACGCGUGGGUAACCUGCCUCACACUGGGGGAUAACAGUUAGAAAUAGCUGCUAAUACCGCAUAAGCGCACAGUUCCGCAUGGAACAGUGUGAAAAACUCCGGUGGUGUGAGAUGGACCCGCGUCUGAUUAGCCAGUUGGCGGGGUAACGGCCCACCAAAGCGACGAUCAGUAGCCGGCCUGAGAGGGUGAACGGCCACAUUGGGACUGAGACACGGCCCAAACUCCUACGGGAGGCAGCAUG
This 256-nucleotide ribosomal RNA is filed under the name uncultured bacterium. RNAcentral describes it as "partial 16S ribosomal RNA". It matches the Rfam family "Bacterial small subunit ribosomal RNA", at positions 99 to 353 of the family's 1533-position model. The record is from RNAcentral.